This 766-nucleotide long non-coding RNA is filed under the name Ursus maritimus (polar bear). Its description in RNAcentral is "lncRNA (ENSUMAG00000014656.1)". The record is from RNAcentral. Lineage: Eukaryota; Metazoa; Chordata; Mammalia; Carnivora; Ursidae.
CACAGGGGGAAGUGAAGAGUCUUGGAGAGCCAUCUCAACAGUGCCGAGCUGUGCUUUGUCCCAGGCCUCCCGGAGCUGGCCUGUGGGGUCACCUUGAAGGAACAGAAACAGUGGCCACACUUUGUUUUGAAGCUCUCUGUCUCCCAUGGUUGCUCUGACAUGUUCUGUGUAAGAACCUCACAUUCAUCCUCCUGAGACAAGAAAAUCUGAGGACCUGGCCACCAUCAAUCAGGAGGGCCCCUUUCGGACAGAGUCCCCACCUGCCACCUCCCCACCGGCCAGCCCCAUUUGGUCCAGGGUGUGGAUUGCUUUUAGCAUCUUCUCUGUUCCAGGUGGUUCCUGGUGGGCAGGGUUGCAAGACCGAUGUCAUUCAACAUGCAGGACACGAUCCAGAGUAAUGUCACCAGAAGAGCCUCCUGGGCCCCUCACCUCAGACGGGAGGCGAGGGGCUGACCAGGCAGCGCCCACGAGUGGCCGUUUAAAUACAAAGACUUGUACCGUUUCUGAUCGUGUUUGGCCCAUGGUGGUUGGCUGUAAGCAAACUGCACCGAAUCCCAUGAAAGAGCAAUAUGAACAUACCCCCAGACCACUGGGGACUCGGAGACGGGAGUGGUUUUUGUAUCAAUGGAGACAAGUAAAGGCUGCAGCUGUCCCUGCUGUAACCCGAGCUCCAGCUGCUCACAUCUCUCCGUUGUCUCUGGACUUUCUCACUUCAGGGUGUGAUGUGGGCACCCGGCCUCUGAGUCCCUGUGGGACCAGCCACUGA